Molecule: non-coding RNA, 29 nt
Filed under: Homo sapiens (human)
Lineage: Eukaryota; Metazoa; Chordata; Mammalia; Primates; Hominidae
Source: RNAcentral
GGGAAGUGAUGACACCUGUGACUGUUGAU